RNAcentral lists this ribosomal RNA (492 nucleotides) under uncultured bacterium. Its description in RNAcentral is "partial 16S ribosomal RNA". It matches the Rfam family "Bacterial small subunit ribosomal RNA", at positions 29 to 507 of the family's 1533-position model. The record is from RNAcentral.
AGUGAACGCUGGCGGUAGGCCUAACACAUGCAAGUCGAACGGCAGCACAGUAAGAGCUUGCUCUUACGGGUGGCGAGUGGCGGACGGGUGAGGAAUACAUCGGAAUCUACUUUUUCGUGGGGGAUAACGUAGGGAAACUUACGCUAAUACCGCAUACGACCUACGGGUGAAAGCAGGGGAUCUUCGGACCUUGCGCGAUUGAAUGAGCCGAUGUCGGAUUAGCUAGUUGGCGGGGUAAAGGCCCAACAAGGCGACGAACCGUAGCUGGUCUGAGAGGAUGACCAGCCAGACUGGAACUGAGACACGGUCCAGACUCCUACGGGAGGCAGCAGUGGGGAAUAUUGGACAAUGGGCGCAAGCCUGAUCCAGCCAUACCGCGUGGGUGAAGAAGGCCUUCGGGUUUUAAAGCCCUUUUGUUGGGAAAGAAAAGCAGCAGGUUAAUACCCCGCUGUUCUGACGGUACCCAAAGAAUAAGCACCGGCUAACUUCGUG